CCGAGCUUGACGUAUCGGUGCACGUCAAUCAUCGGAGAACAAGUUACCUGCCAGAUACGCUAAUACCGCGACAGAACGAGACGCUGUUGCUCGAGUUGUUUAUUUCGCACAGGUGACUCGCUGAAGCGCGAUCUACUGAGACACGCGCCUGCCGUUCUUUUCCGGGCCGAUAGAUGGCACUGUUGCACUUCCGCUCAGAGGAAACGCCUUCUGCAUUCUUAACGCGUCCACGUGUUCACUCAUUGUGAAUAUGAGAAUAGUCCGUUUUAGAAAAGCUUGCUGAGGCCCCCUAAUGGGGCCCCGGGCCCUGGCCUCCUGUUUGAGAUCCUUUGAUCUAAAGCUCGGAUUCAAAUGGAAUAUGUAAAGGGAGUCAGAACAUCAAAAGAUGGAUUUUCGUGCACGCUUUAGCACAUAUGCAUACGGCUGCACGCCUGCUCAUAAAUACAGAACACCGGCCCCUGCUAACAGUUGUCAGGUUGUCAGGACGAAAUGACCUUUACCUAAAUGACUGCACGUCUCUUCACACCACAUUGAGUGGCUCUGCAUUGGUAGACUGGCCUCUGUUGGACAUCGUCACGUUCCUGAUGAAAUGCAGUGAAUCUGAAGGAAAUUAAAGGAACGGUUCAUCCAAAAGGGAUGAUUUGCUGGAGCUUCACUCACCCUCAGGCCAUCCAAGAAUUAGAUGGGAACGGAAAAGAUAAUCUGCAGUGAAUGCGUUCUGUCAGAGUCCAAACAGCUGAUAAAAAUAUCACAAUAAUCCACACGACUGAGGAGUUUCAUGGAUUACAGACUUUGUGAUUUUACCUGAAGAAUGGUUCAAAAUCGAAAUGCCUUAAUGAGUCAUUACUUUUUACAAACACGCCGGUUUUUACUUUGCAAGAAGUUGAUUAAUGGGCUGGAGUUUGUAUGGAUUAUUGCGUUAGCUGUUUGGCCUCUUAUUCUGACGGCACCCAUUCACUUCAGAAGAUCCUUCGUG
This is a long non-coding RNA of Puntigrus tetrazona (Sumatra barb), 976 nucleotides long. RefSeq lists it as uncharacterized. NCBI's taxonomy places the organism in Eukaryota, Metazoa, Chordata, Actinopteri, Cypriniformes, Cyprinidae. The record is from RefSeq and is a predicted model, not a curated record. The transcript is spliced from 3 exons.